Molecule: unclassified non-coding RNA, 240 nt
Filed under: soil metagenome
Description: partial contains 5.8S ribosomal RNA, internal transcribed spacer 2, and large subunit ribosomal RNA
Source: RNAcentral
AACCAUAGAAACCUGCGGAGUACCUGCGGAGGGAUCAUUAAAAAGAGUGUGUACCCCCCUGUAAAAUGGGUGGGUUACCUCCCGUCCUUUGUUGACCUCUUAGGAGGUUAUUUUGAACUUUUCUGCUUCGGUGGGGUUAAACCUACCGGAACACCCUCAAAUUCUGAUCAUUUAAAAAUUGUUCAGUCCGAUUUUUGUUAAUAAAAACAAAAAACUUUUAACAACGGAUCUCAGAUCGGA